RNAcentral lists this ribosomal RNA (470 nucleotides) under uncultured organism. RNAcentral's name for it is "partial 16S ribosomal RNA". It matches the Rfam family "Bacterial small subunit ribosomal RNA", at positions 334 to 796 of the family's 1533-position model. The record is from RNAcentral.
CACUCCUGCGGGAGGCAGCAGUGGGGAAUAUUGCACAAUGGGCGCAAGCCUGAUGCAGCCAUGCCGCGUGUAUGAAGAAGGCCUUCGGGUUGUAAAGUACUUUCAGCGGGGAGGAAGGCAAUACGGUUAAUAACCGUGUUGAUUGACGUUACCCGCAGAAGAAGCACCGGCUAACUCCGUGCCAGCAGCCGCGGUAAUACGGAGGGUGCAAGCGUUAAUCGGAAUUACUGGGCGUAAAGCGCACGCAGGCGGUCUGUCAAGUCGGAUGUGAAAUCCCCGGGCUCAACCUGGGAACUGCAUUCGAAACUGGCAGGCUUGAGUCUUGUAGAGGGGGGUAGAAUUCCAGGUGUAGCGGUGAAAUGCGUAGAGAUCUGGAGGAAUACCGGUGGCGAAGGCGGCCCCCUGGACAAAGACUGACGCUCAGGUGCGAAAGCGUGGGGAGCAAACAGGAUUAGAUACCCCUGUAGUCC